Molecule: transfer RNA, 75 nt
Filed under: bacterium
Lineage: Bacteria
Description: tRNA-Ile
Rfam family: tRNA
About the family: Transfer RNA (tRNA) molecules are approximately 80 nucleotides in length. Their secondary structure includes four short double-helical elements and three loops (D, anti-codon, and T loops). Further hydrogen bonds mediate the characteristic L-shaped molecular structure. tRNAs have two regions of fundamental functional importance: the anti-codon, which is responsible for specific mRNA codon recognition, and the 3' end, to which the tRNAs corresponding amino acid is attached (by aminoacyl-tRNA synthetases). tRNAs cope with the degeneracy of the genetic code in two manners: having more than one tRNA (with a specific anti-codon) for a particular amino acid; and 'wobble' base-pairing, i.e. permitting non-standard base-pairing at the 3rd anti-codon position.
Source: RNAcentral
GGGCAUGUAGCUCAGUGGUAGAGCAACGGCCUUAUAAGCCGUAGGUCGAAGGUCCGAUCCCUUCCAUGCCCACCA